This is a non-coding RNA of Gasterosteus aculeatus aculeatus (three-spined stickleback), 2414 nucleotides long. Lineage: Eukaryota; Metazoa; Chordata; Actinopteri; Perciformes; Gasterosteidae. The record is from RefSeq and is a predicted model, not a curated record.
UUAUUAUUAAAGAUCUUUGAUUAUUUGUGUUGAAGGUGGUCUGACUGACUACUACCAUUAUUCUACUCUUUACAUUUCAUGGACGCUAUUGUCAUCAAAGUGACUAUUAAUAACCACGUUGCAUCGGGCUGAGCUUAAGAGAACGUAUUGCUAUUUUUGUCACGUAGGAGGCAUCAGAAAUAGCAUCACAUCCGAGUCGUCGGACCGCGAUGUUUCACUGUGAAUACAGAUCGAGAUCUGAGAGCCUCUUUUGAUCGAAGGAUGAUACCCUGCACCAGAGGGCAGACAACUUUAUUACAAGAUUUACAACAAAGAGAUUGGAUUACAUCCAUUAAUGCGUGUGGCAGCGGCCCCCAGAGUGACAAAGGAGAUCGCAGCUUAUUUCCCGUAUCACUGGUGCAUGACGAAAUCCAACAUGACAGUGGUCAGCCCAGCUCCCUGCACACUCACACCAAGUCCUGUUUCCACAGCGACGACAACAAAUGAUGCUGCAACACAGUGGGAGCUCCGGCGAGAUCUGGACUCUUUGGUUUUCAUUUUUUGGAGCUUUAGAAUGAAAAGACGGAUGAAGGCACGCUAAGGAAAUCAUGAACUUUACUGACCCGCUCACCGAUCUCUGUCUGGUCGCCCUGUGGGAGGAUGUCGAUGUCCGGCUGAAGGGAGCAGGCUUCAAUGACAGCAUCGUACCUGGUAGGCGGAGAGCGAAUACAAAUGAGCUCUAAUACUAAUGCUGAUACCAGCCAGAAGGACAUGGGCCUGCUCAAUAUUAACCUCGAGACAGGAAAUCAAUUUGAAAGAUUCAUUAACUUCGCUAGAAUAGAAAAAUCAGCCUCUGUGGUGGGACUUCAAAGUGUCGAAGUGAGCAGCCACUGCUUCAACGGACACGGAGAGACCGGGAAUAAUCCACGGCUGCUUCAGUCCUUCGUUCAGAUUUAAGUGAAUCGCUCGCUGUUCUUUCCAAUGUCUCGGCAUCUCCGUAUCAUCCAUCUGGAUCGGCGCACAAGGUCUUGAAAUUGUAGUUGACAGGAAGCCGACCCUCGGUUGUUCAAGAAAGCUUGACAGCUGUUAUUGCUGGAUCUUUGAGAACAUUUCGAGCUAAAAAAUACAGAGUCACGGGCCAGAAUACGUUGAUUAAUAUGAAUGAAUGAGAUGUUUCCUCAUCAGCUGUAUAAAAGGAUAUUGUAAGACAGAAUUUAAGUCAAAACUUUGCACUGUAAAAGGACAAGUUAGCUGUAAAAUACCAUGUUAAGACUGCGGGCCAGACUGGCAGCUCUGUACUGACAGGAUGACAAUGUUGCUGGUGUCUAGAAACAGCUGAGUUGAAAUUGUUUGCAUGCUAAAAAAUUGGACAAUUAAGCUUUUUCACUAAAGAAUAUUAAAAAAACUGACCCAAGCUAUAAACAUGGUUACAUAUAUAUUAUAUUUAUAUAGGUACCUCCCAAGCGGGAUGAAAUAGCAGGUGAACACUGGUUUAAUUCAUGAGAUGUGAUAUCUGUUCCAUUUCGUUUAGCAGAGUUUUCCAGUGAGCCGUUAAUGGCAGCAACUCUGUUUGACCUGGAACAAAAACUACUAGUAUUAUUGGUAAAGAAAAACGAUGUGUGUAGAGAAAGAAAAGGGCGGUCGGGUAAACGGCUCCACAAUAACAAACCAAAGCGCUCCAUUAGAUUUGUUUUAUGAAAACAGUCCAUUAGAACCAAGCAACUGACCUUCCAGAGAGGCCAUUUGUUGAGAGGAGGAAAAUUGUGAGCGUGGUUAAUGUGAGUGUGAGUCAUUAAAAGAGAAUGUGUGUGUGUUUUCGAUUGUGCUCACGCAUGUGAAAAACAGCAUAUGUCGUUGAACCAGGAGUGAGUGAAACUAGGAAAACUCUAUUCAACCAAAAGACAAGUUCACCCAAGACAAAUCCUGUUGUCUCAAGAGUCAAAACUGCUUAUUUGUGAAGGCACACUUUGUUGAGCGCGUUGACUUAAUCACGCAUCACACACGUCCAAUUCAACGUCGUGGCCUCGGGGAGCGGGAAGGUUAUUGGAUGUAUUUUGUCUCGACGGCUGGCGCUGACAUAACAUUAAUUACUGUGUUAACAACUCUGAAUGUCAAAGUAGUUGACUGCAGCACAUCCACAAGCAUUUCGUACUAAAACUAUUCAACAGGUUUGAAAAAGCUGUAGGACAAAUCGACAAACUGCUACACUUUUCCGCUCAAAUAAAAAUGUUUACUCCUCGUUUGCACUUAAUCACACUCAUUUGUGUGUAAUUAACAGAAAUCAUAUUUGUAUUUAACAGGGAACUGGAUGUAAUAUUGUAACUGUGAUGUAUUGGGAAUAGCAGGGACACUCCACACUAGCAGGGGGGUGCGAGGAAAUCGUAUAUAGUAGAUGUAUGCAUGAAGAAAUAAACUUGUGUAGAACGGUAACUAAA